GGCCAGACUCCUACGGGAGGCAGCAGUGGGGAAUAUUGGGCAAUGGGCGCAAGCCUGACCCAGCAAUGCCGCGUGAAGGAAGAAGGCCUUCGGGUUGUAAACUUCUUUUAUCAGGGACGAAGGAUGCGACGGUACCUGAUGAAUGAGCUCCGGCUAACUACGUGCCAGCAGCCGCGGUAAUACGUAGGGAGCAAGCGUUAUCCGGAUUUACUGGGUGUAAAGGGCGCGUAGGCGGGAUGGCAAGUCAGAUGUGAAAUCCAAGGGCUCAACCCUUGAACUGCAUUUGAAACUGUCGUUCUUGAGUACUGGAGAGGUUGACGGAAUUCCUAGUGUAGCGGUGAAAUGCGUAGAUAUUAGGAGGAACAUCGGUGGCGAAGGCGGCUUACUGGGCUUUUACUGACGCUGAGGCUCGAAAGCGUGGGGAGCAAACAGGAUUAGAUACCCCAGUA
This 449-nucleotide ribosomal RNA is filed under the name uncultured bacterium. RNAcentral describes it as "bacterial SSU rRNA". It matches the Rfam family "Bacterial small subunit ribosomal RNA", at positions 329 to 792 of the family's 1533-position model. The record is from RNAcentral.